Molecule: long non-coding RNA, 785 nt
Filed under: Oreochromis niloticus (Nile tilapia)
Lineage: Eukaryota; Metazoa; Chordata; Actinopteri; Cichliformes; Cichlidae
Description: lncRNA (ENSONIG00000042243.1)
Source: RNAcentral
CUGACACAGCAUUACUGGAUGGAGGAAGAUUCUGAUUAACAGAAGAUGAUUCACGAACCAUGGAUCAGCUGAAAUGUUUGAAAAUGUUGUUCACAUGUGUUGAACUGACUGAAGCUUCCAGUCACAGUGAAUCAGUGUGUGUCAGUGAAUGCAUCAUGUGUGCUUCACUGCUCCAUCUAGUGGACUGAUAGUAGAGCAGCUGAUGGCAGCUUCCUCUGCCUCACACUGCUGUCUGACUGCAUUCAGCUGACACUGAGAUGAAGCAGGAAAGAAGCAGCUGAUAUUUGGACAGCACACAUGAUGGAAAGGAGGAUUUCAGUUGAUGUGCACAUGAAUGAUUUGUGUUUCCUCUGCAGGUAGAAAGUGUGUGUGAGCUGAAUUGAGCAGCAUGGAUCAGUGUGAGGACAGAGAGGAGGGAGUCCCUCCCUCUAAAAGCACUCUGUGUGGGGAACAUGAGAGCCAGACCAAAGCUCAGAGGAACCAACCUGGACCUCCGCCCAGCUCUGUGUCCUUAAAGAGUGAGCGGUCAAUAGAUCACUUCAUUGAAUUUAAAGUCCAGCAUGGGUCUGGUGCAGAGAGGUGAGCUGUUAUUAACAUGGACUCUUUGAUUUAACUGCUUGAUGUUGUUGGAUAUAAACUGCAGUGCAAACACGUCAUUCCCUCAAUCCCAUUUAAACUGCCUCUUAAAGUAAAUUUGAAAAACUACGUGUCAAGAGUAAUUUUCACCAUGAAGCCCUUUUCCAAAAAAACCCCCAAGAAACGAUAGAUAGAUUUAAGUCUCAGGG